Haliotis rubra (blacklip abalone) is the source of this 222-nucleotide long non-coding RNA. RefSeq lists it as uncharacterized. Lineage: Eukaryota; Metazoa; Mollusca; Gastropoda; Lepetellida; Haliotidae. The record is from RefSeq and is a predicted model, not a curated record. The transcript has 3 exons.
CGCACUGGUUCCACCAUGUAUCGGUGUUCUUUAAGUUUGUCUUCUAGGCCGGAAGUGAGUAACAAUUGAGGAACACCCUAUGGCUCCAACAACGACAGGGUCCGCUAUAUUGAAGAUGUCAACUGAGAAUGGUGUACUCAAAGAGAACUGCGGGGCCUUUGCUCUUGUAGAAUCUGGAAAGUCAGACGUUGACAAAGAAGACUUCGAGGAGAAUGGACUUCU